GUAGCAUUUUAUUUUCUAUUUUUGGCGUGUAAAGCUCUAAGAGAGACUGUGCUGAAUUUUCAAGAGCAGCCUAGAAAAAUCAUGGGAUGGACAAGCUUACCCUUUUUCCCCACCCUUCUUGCAUGCUUAAAUUACCAUACUGAUACACUGCUCUGCAUACAAACGAGAAUAGAAACCUGCUACAUACUCCUGAUAAGGGUCAUAAAGUGCCAGCUUCGUAGCUCAGUAACUACGCUACUGUUGAUGCCCCAUUGAGCAAGAUCCCUCUGUUCCUGCGUGGAGGCUGCAUUCUCCCAAAACAGGCACCAGCCACAAGAACAACUAAGAGCCGUCUGAACCCGUGUGGGCUCGUUGUUGCCCUGGAUGAUCAAGGAGAAGCUUCUGGGUCGCUCUUCUGGGAUGAUGGCGAUUCGAUUGGGAAUCUUGAAGACAGAAAUAGUUAAAAAUGGCUACCGAGGGGCUGACUCUCUGAAAUACAACACAAUUAUGAUCCUUGGACUGAACCGGAGACCUCAUGCUGUUGCUCUGAAUGGAAGGGCUGUGCGUAAAAAUGCUUUCUCUUGUCAGACAAACGGGCAAUUCACUUUACGGCUUUCUGCACCACUUACUCAGGAGCUCAGCACUGCCAUUUACUAGAAUGGUUAGAAAACCCUGACAUAAUUUAGCAGCCUUGGCCCUCAGAUAUUGAUCUCACUGAUGUAAAAAAGUAUCCAGUCAUUAAAACGUUGCCUAUGUGCCUGACCACUGCUCUUCUCCUGUGCUGCAUUUGUAAUUCAAUAUUCUUCAAAUAAAAUUUUCAUUAACAG
RNAcentral lists this long non-coding RNA (806 nucleotides) under Struthio camelus australis. RNAcentral's name for it is "lncRNA (ENSSCUG00000000896.1)". Lineage: Eukaryota; Metazoa; Chordata; Aves; Struthioniformes; Struthionidae. The record is from RNAcentral.